This is a long non-coding RNA of Hemicordylus capensis (graceful crag lizard), 726 nucleotides long. RefSeq lists it as uncharacterized. NCBI's taxonomy places the organism in Eukaryota, Metazoa, Chordata, Lepidosauria, Squamata, Cordylidae. The record is from RefSeq and is a predicted model, not a curated record. The transcript is spliced from 2 exons.
CUUGCAAGUCGGUAAAGAGGGAGGGGAGGCGAGUACUUUUCGCAGUUUCCAGGAGGGGCAGCCCUCCCUGCUUGGGGCUUCAGUUUCUGCCGGGGAAGGCCUCCUCCCUCUCCUCAGCCAGAGGGGGUUGGGAAUUGGUGACUCGCUUUCGGGGUCUCGCGUUGUGCUGGCUGCUGCCGGGACAGAGUCGGGAAGUUUCACGGGGCUUGUGUUGGGAAAGCUGAGAUCUCGCGUUGUGCUGCCGGCCUAGGAUGGAGUCCUCUGACUCUUGGCGGCAGCAGGAGCGUGAGACCCAGCGCUUCUGCUCCAAUGCUUGUUUGAAAAGCCAAACAAGCAAAUAGCUAAAGGAGAUCCUGAACACACCCGGUUCACAAAGGAAUCUUGAACAACAUUGAGUUUCACAGCUGCAAAGGCGACAGGUGGGAAGGCCAUGAUUUGCUAGGUGAAAGAAAGAGGCUGUUUGUGAUGAUGCAGGGUCUUCUGGGGUCCAAAGAGGAAAAGACUGCUUCUUCACCCACACUUUAUCUCCUAGGAAAAGCAACACCAGCAGGUGUCUUAUGAUGUUCUUAUAUGUUGACGACUUGGUUUCCUUUAAAAUCUCGGUACAGUUUGGACACACGAAUCAGGAUUUCAGAUUCUGGGGGGAAAUGAACAGUUAUAAAACCUUUUGUACAUGUAAAAGUGUAAAGCUGCAUCAUUUAAAAAUUAUUAUUUUCCGGAAAGUUU